RNAcentral lists this ribosomal RNA (376 nucleotides) under uncultured bacterium. RNAcentral describes it as "bacterial SSU rRNA". It matches the Rfam family "Bacterial small subunit ribosomal RNA", at positions 29 to 432 of the family's 1533-position model. The record is from RNAcentral.
AACGAACGCUGGCGGCAGGCCUAACACAUGCAAGUCGAACGCUCGUAGCAAUACGGGAGUGGCAGACGGGUGAGUAACACGUGGGAACCUUCCCUAUGGUUCGGAAUAGCUCAGGGAAACUUGGGGUAAUACCGGAUAAGCCCUUCGGGGAAGAUUUAUCGCCAUUGGAUGGGCCCGCGUCGGAUUAGCUAGUUGGUGAGGUAACGGCUCACCAAGGCAACGAUCCGUAGCUGGUCUGAGAGGAUGAUCAGCCACACUGGGACUGAGACACGGCCCAGACUCCUACGGGAGGCAGCAGUGGGGAAUAUUGGACAAUGGGCGCAAGCCUGAUCCAGCCAUGCCGCGUGAGUGACGAAGGUCUUCGGAUUGUAAAACU